AUUGAACGCUGGCGGCAGGCCUAACACAUGCAAGUCGAACGGCAGCGGGGGGUAGCUUGCUACCCCGCCGGCGAGUGGCGGACGGGUGAGUAAUGCCUGGGGAGCUGCCCAAUCGAGGGGGAUACCAGUUGGAAACGACUGCUAAUACCGCAUACGCCCUGAGGGGGAAAGGUGGGGAUCUUCGGACCUAUCGCGAUUGGAUGCACCCAGGUGGGAUUAGCUAGUUGGUGAUGUAACGGCUCACCAAGGCGACGAUCUCUAGCUGGUCUGGGAGGAUGACCAGCCACACUGGAACUGAGACACGGUCCAGACUCCUACUGGAGGCAGCAGUGGGGAAUAUUGCACAAUGGGGGAAACCCUGAUGCAGCCAUGCCGCGUGUGUGAAGAAGGCCUUCGGGUUGUAAAGCACUUUCAGCGAGGAGGAAAGGGUGGCAGCUAAUACCUGUCAUCUGUGACGUUACUCGCAGAAGAAGCACCGGCUAACUCCGUGCCAGCCGCCGCGGUAA
Molecule: ribosomal RNA, 506 nt
Filed under: uncultured bacterium
Lineage: Bacteria
Description: partial 16S ribosomal RNA
Rfam family: Bacterial small subunit ribosomal RNA
Source: RNAcentral